CCUCAGUAACGGCGAGUGAAGCGGCAACAGCUCAAAUUUGAAAUCUGGCCCCGUGCCCGAGUUGUAAUUUGUAGAGGAUGCUUCGGGUGCGGCCCGGUCUAAGUUCCUUGGAACAGGACGUCACAGAGGGUGAGAGCCCCGUAUGCGACCGGGGACCUGAGCCCGUGUGAAGCUCCUUCGACGAGUCGAGUUGUUUGGGAAUGCAGCUCAAAAUGGGUGGUAAAUUUCAUCUAAAGCUAAAUACCGGCCAGAGACCGAUAGCGCACAAGUAGAGUGAUCGAAAGAUGAAAAGCACUUUGGAAAGAGAGUUAAACAGUACGUGAAAUUGUUGAAAGGGAAGCGCUUGCGACCAGACUUGCGCGCGGCCGAUCAUCCGGUGUUCUCGCCGGUGCACUCGGCCGCGCUCAGGCCAGCAUUGGUUCUGGCGGCCGGACAAAGGCCCCGGGAAUGUGGCUCCCCUCGGGGAGUGUUAGAGCCCGGGGCGCAAUGCGGCCCGCCGGGACCGAGGACCGCGCUUCGGCUAGGAUGCUGGCGUAAUGGUCGCAAGCGACCCGUCUUGAAACACGGACCAAGGAGUCUAACAUCUAUGCGAGUGUUUGGGUGGCAAACCCCUACGCGGAAUGAAAGUGAACGGAGGUGAGAGCCCUUCAGGGCGCAUCACCGACCGAUCCCGAUGUCCUCGGACGGAUUUGAGUACGAGCAUAGCUGUUGGGACCCGAAAGACAGUGAACUAUUCCUGAAUAGGGUGAAGCCAGAGGAAACUCUGGUGGAGGCUCGCAGCGGUUCUGACGUGCAAAUCGAUCGUCAAAUUUGGGUAUAGGGGCGAAAGACUAAUCGAACUGUCUAGUAGCUGGUUCCUGCCGAAGUUUCCCUCAGGAUAGCAGUGUUGAAUUCAGUUUUAUGAGGUAGAGCGAAUGAUUAGGGGUCUGGGGGGCCAAGGCUCUUCACCCAUUCUCAAACUUCGAAUAUGUAAGAAGUCCUUGUUGCUUAGUUGAACGUGGACAUUCGAAUGCACCAACACUAGUGGGCCAUUUUUGGUAAGCAGAACUGGCGAUGCGGGAUGAACCGAACGUGAAGUUAAGGUGCCGGAAUAUACGCUCAUCAGACACCACAAAAGGUGUUAGUUCAUCUAGACAGCAGGACGGUGGCCAUGGAAGUCGGAAUCCGCUAAGGAAUGUGCGUGGCACCAGUUACAUGUUCCUGUACGAAGUUUUUGGAAGACCCGGGACCCACGGUGGGGCCACGCAGACCUUCCAUGCCCAGGAACGACUGUUGCCCCACGGUGAUACCGGCGCUCCAAACAUUGACUGUUGCAAAAUCGGUGGAAGGCGCCCCCAAGCCAACCCCGAGCCCAGGCUCCAGCCGGCGGCCAGAGCCUGGGUGUACAGACUAGACACAAUAGGUCCUCCGGCGGAGGAUUCUGAUAUAGUCGAGUCCACCUCUGCAAAGAGAUGGCUAGAGCCAGCUGUGUAAGGUGCAGCGGCUCUCCCCUACGGUGUAACAACUCACCUGCCGAAUGAACUAGCCCUGAAAAUGGAUGGCGCUUAAGCGUGUUACCCAUACUUCACCGCCAGGGUAGAAACGAUGCCCUGGCGAGUAGGCAGGCGUGGGGG
RNAcentral lists this ribosomal RNA (1613 nucleotides) under Lichinodium sirosiphoideum. Its description in RNAcentral is "partial large subunit ribosomal RNA". It matches the Rfam family "Eukaryotic large subunit ribosomal RNA", at positions 78 to 1397 of the family's 3401-position model. Lineage: Eukaryota; Fungi; Ascomycota; Leotiomycetes; Leotiales; Lichinodiaceae. The record is from RNAcentral.